ACGGUUAGGGUUUUCGAUCUCACCCAGUAUCCCAGCUCUAUAAAUGAGAAGCGAGCGCCUACGCCGCCACUCACCCUCGUCCCCCCAAACUCGCCAAAUCCGCCGCAGCCGCCUUUAGACGAGACCGAGAGCGCGAGGUCCACCCCCGCCGCCGCGAUGAGGGCCAAGUGGAAGAAGAAGAGAAUGAGGAGGCUCAAGAGGAAGCGCCGAAAGAUGAGGCAGAGAUCCAAGUAGGCACCCCAUGAGGAAGGGAAGCUACUCGGGCACCAUUUCCGAGGCGCGUUGGGAUGAUUCUGACGUGUUUCGGUGUAGCUGCAGGAGAUGCGAACCUAACUUGUGUUUUGGUUAAUCUUAGCUGUUCUUGUCUGGUCAUCUUUUAAGGCCGGGUUUUUAUGUAAUGUGGGAUAAUCAUAUGUUGCUUUAUGACUGAGGUUUAUGCAGUUAAGAGAAUAUGGUACUCGAAUA
Long non-coding RNA from Phragmites australis (common reed), 465 nucleotides. RefSeq lists it as uncharacterized. Lineage: Eukaryota; Viridiplantae; Streptophyta; Magnoliopsida; Poales; Poaceae. The record is from RefSeq and is a predicted model, not a curated record. The transcript has 2 exons.